CUCCAAGGCUAAAUACUCCUGACUGACCGAUAGUGAACCAGUACCGUGAGGGAAAGGCGAAAAGAACCCCGGCGAGGGGAGUGAAAAAGAACCUGAAACCGUGUACGUACAAGCAGUGGGAGCACAGGUUUACCUGUGUGACUGCGUACCUUUUGUAUAAUGGGUCAGCGACUUAUAUUCUGUAGCAAGGUUAACCGAAUAGGGGAGCCGCAGGGAAACCGAGUCUUAAUUGGGCGUUAAGUUGCAGGGUAUAGACCCGAAACCCGGUGAUCUAGCCAUGGGCAGGUUGAAGGUUGGGUAACACUAACUGGAGGACCGAACCGACUAAUGUUGAAAAAUUAGCGGAUGACCUGUGGCUGGGGGUGAAAGGCCAAUCAAACCGGGAGAUAGCUGGUUCUCCCCGAAAGCUAUUUAGGUAGCGCCUCGUGAAUUCAUCUCCGGGGGUAGAGCACUGUUUCGGCUAGGGGGCCAUCCCGGCUUACCAACCCGAUGCAAACUGCGAAUACCGGAGAAUGUUAUCACGGGAGACACACGGCGGGUGCUAACGUCCGUCGUGAAGAGGGAAACAACCCAGACCGCCAGCUAAGGUCCCAAAGUCAUGGUUAAGUGGGAAACGAUGUGGGAAGGCCCAGACAGCCAGGAUGUUGGCUUAGAAGCAGCCAUCAUUUAAAGAAAGCGUAAUAGCUCACUGGUCGAGUCGGCCUGCGCGGAAGAUGUAACGGGGCUAAACCAUGCACCGAAGCUGCGGCAGCGAACGUAUCACUUAAAGCGAUUCAGCGGGUUACGAUUGACGGAGCGAAGCGACGUCAAAGCGUAUACAAAGUCGAGUCGGUUUAAGGAUACGUUCGUUGGGUAGGGGAGCGUUCUGUAAGCCUGUGAAGGUGUGUCGUGAGGCAUGCUGGAGGUAUCAGAAGUGCGAAUGCUGACAUAAGUAACGAUAAAGCGGGUGAAAAGCCCGCUCGCCGGAAGACCAAGGGUUCCUGUCCAACGUUAAUCGGGGCAGGGUGAGUCGACCCCUAAGGCGAGGCCGAAAGGCGUAGUCGAUGGGAAACGGGUUAAUAUUCCCGUACUUGGUGUUACUGCGAAGGGGGGACGGAGAAGGCUAUGUUGGCCGGGCGACGGUUGUCCCGGUUUAAGCGUGUAGGUGUGUGUUCCAGGUAAAUCCGGUUCACUUUAACACUGAGGCGUGACGACGAGGCACUACGGUGCUGAAGCAACAAAUGCCCUGCUUCCAGGAAAAGCCUCUAAGCAUCAGGUAACAUCAAAUCGUACCCCAAACCGACACAGGUGGUCAGGUAGAGAAUACCAAGGCGCUUGAGAGAACUCGGGUGAAGGAACUAGGCAAAAUGGUGCCGUAACUUCGGGAGAAGGCACGCUGACACGUAGGUGAAGUGAUUUACUCACGGAGCUGAAGUCAGUCGAAGAUACCAGCUGGCUGCAACUGUUUAUUAAAAACACAGCACUGUGCAAACACGAAAGUGGACGUAUACGGUGUGACGCCUGCCCG
This 1507-nucleotide ribosomal RNA is filed under the name Salmonella enterica subsp. enterica serovar Abortusequi. Its description in RNAcentral is "partial 23S ribosomal RNA". It matches the Rfam family "Bacterial large subunit ribosomal RNA", at positions 458 to 1865 of the family's 2925-position model. The record is from RNAcentral. Lineage: Bacteria; Pseudomonadati; Pseudomonadota; Gammaproteobacteria; Enterobacterales; Enterobacteriaceae.